RNAcentral lists this long non-coding RNA (400 nucleotides) under Actinidia chinensis (golden kiwifruit). Its description in RNAcentral is "long non-coding RNA (ACHI_LNC000316)". The record is from RNAcentral. Lineage: Eukaryota; Viridiplantae; Streptophyta; Magnoliopsida; Ericales; Actinidiaceae.
CCUGCAUUUAUUUGUUAUUUUUACAAUGAUUUUUAACAAAAUUAAUUUUUAUAAAUGUUAGCUAAUUGUUUUUCUUCCAAAAAUAUCAAAUGUGUAGUGUAUAUAGGAAAUAAAACUAUAGAGUUUAAUUUUUUAUUGAUGUCAAACAUAAGUUCUUUUUGUAAUUUUCCCAAAGAGGGCAAUUUCGUCAUUAAACUUGACUCUUGACACGGCAUGAAAUGAUGGGGAAAAAAUGAAUGAGGGGAAUUUCGUCAUUAAACUUGACAUACCGACACGGCAUGAAAUGAUGGGGAAAAGGACUGUGACCCACGGGUCCCCAUAGAGCAGCUGGUAGCAUUCUCAAAAUACCAAAAACGUGCAACAUUUAUAGGACUGUUCUCAGUGUCUCGUCGUCAUCCUG